GCCGGACAUGGUGGCACACGCCUGUAAUCCCAGCAGCUUGGGAGGCUGAGCCAGGAGGAUCGUGAGUUCAAAGCCAGCCUCAGCAAAGGUGAGGUGCUAAGCAACUCAGUGAGACCCUGUCUCUA
RNAcentral lists this small RNA (125 nucleotides) under Marmota monax (woodchuck). The record is from RNAcentral. Lineage: Eukaryota; Metazoa; Chordata; Mammalia; Rodentia; Sciuridae.